CUCUCUGAUUCUCUUGGCUUUCAGCCUUUUUCUGCAGGACUUGGUAUCCGAAUUCGUCCAGCAAGUCUUCAGCAUCGUAGGCGGCGUCUUUGAGUUGUUGGAGGAUUUGGAAAAGGUUGUCGUCUUUGGUGCGCCUCUUCUCGGCGCUCUUUAAGAUGAAACGUGUCCGUAGCAGAGUAGUUCGCAGCCUCCUGAGGUCAUCCUGAAGCCCCGAGUGCCGCCCGAAUUGUUGGAUGGCAUCGGAGCUCACCUGGCCGACCAAGUUGUC
Molecule: long non-coding RNA, 268 nt
Filed under: Phoenix dactylifera (date palm)
Lineage: Eukaryota; Viridiplantae; Streptophyta; Magnoliopsida; Arecales; Arecaceae
Description: long non-coding RNA (PDAC_LNC008044)
Source: RNAcentral